GACGAACGCUGGCGGCGUGCUUAACACAUGCAAGUCGAACGGAAAGGCCCUGCUUUUGUGGGGUUCUCGAUUGGCGAACGGGUGAGUAACACGUGAGUAACCUGCCCUUGACUUUGGGAUAACUUCAGGAAACUGGGGCUAAUACCGGAUAGGAUCUCCUGCUGCAUGGUGUGGGUUGGAAAGUUUCGGCGGUUGGGGAUGGACUCGCGGCUUAUCAGCUUGUUGGUGGGGUAGUGGCUUACCAAGGCUUUGACGGGUAGCCGGCCUGAGAGGGUGACCGGCGACAUGGGGACUGAGAUACGGCCCAGAAUCCUACGGGAGGCAGCAGUGGGGAAUAUUGCACAAUGGGCGGAAGCCUGAUGCAGCAACGCCGCGUGCGGGAUGACGGCCUACGGGUUGUAAACAGAUUUCGACUGUGACGAAGCGUGAGUGACGGUAAUGGGUAAAGAAGCACCGGCUAACUACGUG
This 468-nucleotide ribosomal RNA is filed under the name uncultured bacterium. RNAcentral describes it as "partial 16S ribosomal RNA". It matches the Rfam family "Bacterial small subunit ribosomal RNA", at positions 28 to 507 of the family's 1533-position model. The record is from RNAcentral.